UAGGUGACUGAGAAAGACAACGAAUGGCC
RNAcentral lists this non-coding RNA (29 nucleotides) under Mus musculus (house mouse). Lineage: Eukaryota; Metazoa; Chordata; Mammalia; Rodentia; Muridae. The record is from RNAcentral.